Molecule: long non-coding RNA, 257 nt
Filed under: Elaeis guineensis (African oil palm)
Lineage: Eukaryota; Viridiplantae; Streptophyta; Magnoliopsida; Arecales; Arecaceae
Description: long non-coding RNA (EGUI_LNC015880)
Source: RNAcentral
CUUCAGUUGUCAUUCUAGGCUUUGACUGCCGAUCUUAGCUUCAUUUACAAAUCUUAGCCACAAACAUCGGAGCGCCCCUCAUCUUCACUGAUCGUAUUACCUAUCGAUCUGAAGCUUACUAAUCGGGUCUGAUCUAAUUUGAGAACUUCGUGCUUCUUUUCAAAUUCGAAACGAUCCAGCUGGCUCUAGAGCAAGUAAGGCAGGAAUAACCAUCGCAUUCCGAAAAUUUCGAUCCCAAAUCUCAUCAAGCUGCGCCC